Molecule: transfer RNA, 72 nt
Filed under: Fukomys damarensis (Damara mole-rat)
Lineage: Eukaryota; Metazoa; Chordata; Mammalia; Rodentia; Bathyergidae
Rfam family: tRNA
About the family: Transfer RNA (tRNA) molecules are approximately 80 nucleotides in length. Their secondary structure includes four short double-helical elements and three loops (D, anti-codon, and T loops).
Source: Rfam by way of RNAcentral
AGGGAUGUAGCUCAGUGGUAGAGCACUUGCCUAGCAUGCACAGGGCCCUAGGUUCGAUCCCUAGUAUCCAGA